AGCGAACGCUGGCGGCAGGCCUAACACAUGCAAGUCGAACGAACCUUUCGGGGUUAGUGGCGGACGGGUGAGUAACACGUGGGAACGUGCCUUUAGGUUCGGAAUAACUCAGGGAAACUUGUGCUAAUACCGAAUGUGCCCUUCGGUGGAAAGAUUUAUCGCCUUUAGAGCGGCCCGCGUCUGAUUAGCUAGUUGGUUGAGGUAAUGGCUCACCAAGGCGACGAUCAGUAGCUGGUCUGAGAGGAUGAUCAGCCACAUUGGGACUGAGACGCGGCCCAAACUCCUACGGGAGGCAGCAGUGGGGAAUCUUGCGCAAUGGGCGAAAGCCUGACGCAGCCAUGCCGCGUGAAUGAUGAAGGUCUUAGGAUUGUAAAAUUCUUUCACCGGGGACGAUAAUGACGGUACCCGGAGAAGAAGCCCCGGCUAACUUCGUG
Molecule: ribosomal RNA, 434 nt
Filed under: uncultured bacterium
Lineage: Bacteria
Description: partial 16S ribosomal RNA
Rfam family: Bacterial small subunit ribosomal RNA
Source: RNAcentral